This 482-nucleotide ribosomal RNA is filed under the name uncultured bacterium. RNAcentral describes it as "partial 16S ribosomal RNA". It matches the Rfam family "Bacterial small subunit ribosomal RNA", at positions 30 to 507 of the family's 1533-position model. The record is from RNAcentral.
AUUGAACGCUGGCGGCAUGCUUUACACAUGCAAGUCGAACGGUAACAGGCCGCAAGGUGCUGACGAGUGGCGAACGGGUGAGUAAUGCAUCGGAACGUGCCCAGUCGUGGGGGAUAACUACUCGAAAGAGUAGCUAAUACCGCAUACGAUCUAUGGAUGAAAGCGGGGGACCGUAAGGCCUCGCGCGAUUGGAGCGGCCGAUGUCAGAUUAGUUAGUUGGUGGGGUAAAGGCUCACCAAGCCAACGAUCUGUAGCUGGUCUGAGAGGACGACCAGCCACGCUGGGACUGAGACACGGCCCAGACUCCUACGGGAGGCAGCAGUGGGGAAUUUUGGACAAUGGGCGCAAGCCUGAUCCAGCAAUGCCGCGUGCAGGAAGAAGGCCUUCGGGUUGUAAACUGCUUUUGUACGGAACGAAACGGCUCUGGUUAAUACCCGGGGCUAAUGACGGUACCGUAAGAAUAAGCACCGGCUAACUACGUG